This 528-nucleotide ribosomal RNA is filed under the name Eurylepis taeniolata (Alpine Punjab skink). Its description in RNAcentral is "partial 16S ribosomal RNA". It matches the Rfam family "Bacterial large subunit ribosomal RNA", at positions 1815 to 2594 of the family's 2925-position model. The record is from RNAcentral. Lineage: Eukaryota; Metazoa; Chordata; Lepidosauria; Squamata; Scincidae.
AUAGCCUUUAGCCCAACAAGUAUUAAAGGUCCCGCCUGCCCAGUGAUCAUUUCAACGGCCGCGGUAUUCUAACCGUGCAAAGGUAGCGUAAUCACUUGUCUUCUAAAUAAAGACCUGUAUGAAUGGCUAAAUGAGGACAAACCUGUCUCUUACAACCAAUCAGUGAAACUGAUCUUUCAGUACAAAAGCUGAAAUAUACCCAUAAGACGAGAAGACCCUGUGGAGCUUUUAAACCAACCGCCAAAACGCAACCUAACUGCACCUGGCGCCGUGUUUUAAGUUGGGGCGACUUCGGAGUAAAACAAAACCUCCGAGCACAGGGCCAUAAACCCUCACCAAGGCCUACAAGCCAAAGUUAACACACCCGAUCCAGUAAUACUGAUCAACGAACCAAGUUACCCCAGGGAUAACAGCGCUAUCUUCUUCAAGAGUCCAUAUCGACAAGAAGGUUUACGACCUCGAUGUUGGAUCAGGACACCCAAAUGGUGCAGCCGCUAUUAAUGGUUCGUUUGUUCAACGAUUAACAGU